This 783-nucleotide ribosomal RNA is filed under the name uncultured fungus. RNAcentral describes it as "SSU rRNA". It matches the Rfam family "Eukaryotic small subunit ribosomal RNA", at positions 564 to 1356 of the family's 1831-position model. The record is from RNAcentral. Lineage: Eukaryota; Fungi.
GUGCCAGCAGCCGCGGUAAUUCCAGCUCCAAUAGCGUAUAUUAAAGUUGUUGUGGUUAAAAAGCUCGUAGUUGAACCUUGGGCCUGGCUGGCCGGUCCGCCUCACCGCGUGCACUGGUCCGGCCGGGCCUUUCCCUCUGUGGAACCCCAUACCCUUCACUGGGCGUGGCGGGGAAACAGGACAUUUACUUUGAAAAAAUUAGAGUGCUCCAGGCAGGCCUAUGCUCGAAUACAUUAGCAUGGAAUAAUAAAAUAGGACGCGCGGUUCUAUUUUGUUGGUUUAUAGGACCGCCGUAAUGAUUAAUAGGGACAGUCGGGGGCAUCAGUAUUCAACUGUCAGAGGUGAAAUUCUUGGAUCAGUUGAAGACUAACUACUGCGAAAGCAUUUGCCAAGGAUGUUUUCAUUAAUCAGGAACGAAAGUUAGGGGAUCGAAGACGAUCAGAUACCGUCGUAGUCUUAACCAUAAACUAUGCCGACUAGGGAUCGGACGGUGUUAUUCAUGACCCGUUCGGCACCUUACGAGAAAUCAAAGUGCUUGGGCUCCAGGGGGAGUAUGGUCGCAAGGCUGAAACUUAAAGAAAUUGACGGAAGGGCACCACCAGGGGUGGAGCCUGCGGCUUAAUUUGACUCAACACGGGGAAACUCACCAGGUCCAGACACAAUAAGGAUUGACAGAUUGAGAGCUCUUUCUUGAUUUUGUGGUGUGUGCAUGGCCGUUCUUAGUUGGUGGGGUGACUUGUCUGCUUAAUUGCGAAUAACGAACGAGACCUUAAUCUUGCUAAU